UACGUAGGGGGCAAGCGUUAUCCGGAUUUACUGGGUGUAAAGGGAGCGUAGACGGCGGUGCAAGCCAGAUGUGAAAGCCCGGGGCUCAACCCCGGGACUGCAUUUGGAACUAUCAAGCUAGAGUACAGGAGAGGAAAGCGGAAUUCCUAGUGUAGCGGUGAAAUGCGUAGAUAUUAGGAAGAACACCAGUGGCGAAGGCGGCUUUCUGGACUGAAACUGACGCUGAGGCACGAAAGCGUGGGGAGCGAACAGG
Molecule: ribosomal RNA, 253 nt
Filed under: uncultured Eubacteriales bacterium
Lineage: Bacteria; Bacillati; Bacillota; Clostridia; Eubacteriales
Description: uncultured Clostridiales bacterium partial 16S ribosomal RNA
Rfam family: Bacterial small subunit ribosomal RNA
Source: RNAcentral